GGCUCAGAGUGAACGCUGGCGGCGUGGAUUAGGCAUGCAAGUCGAGCGAUCUGAAAUAUACCCGUAAGGGUGUAUGUUGGAUAGCGGCAAACCGGUGAAUAACACGUGGGUAACGUACCUUGAGGAGAAGCAUAGCCUCGCGAAAGUGGGGGUAAUACUUCAUGUGCCCUUUAUGUUGAAAUACAUUUAGUGGAAAGAUGGCCUCUACUUGUAAGCUAUCACCUUAAGAGCGGCCCGCGGCCUAUCAGAUUGUUGGUAAGGUAAAAGCUUACCAAGUCAAAGACGGGUAGCUGGCUUUAGAGAGUGGUCAGCCACAUCGGGACUGAGACACUGCCCGAACUCCUACGGGAGGCUGCAGUCGAGAAUCUUUUUCAAUGGGCGAAAGCCUGAAGAUGCGACGCCGCGUGAGGGAUGAAGGUCUUCGGAUCGUAAACCUCUUUUGCCAGGGAGGAACGCUAUUUGGUGAAUAAUCAAACUAGCUUGACUGUACCUGGCGAAUAAGCCACGGCUAACUCCGUGCCAGCAGCCGCGGUAAUACGGAGGUGGCAAGCGUUACUCGGUUUGACUGGGUGUAAAGGGUUCGCAGGCGGCCUAUUAAGUGUGAGGUGAAAUCCUUCGGCUUAACCGAAGAAUAGCCUUUCAAACUGGUAGGCUUGAGGCUGGGAGAGGAAAGCGGAACUGACGGUGUAAAGGUGAAAUUUGUGGAUAUCGUCAGGAACGCCCGUGAAGUAAUUGGCUUUCUGGUCCAGACCUGACGCUCAUGAACGAAAGCUAGGGGAGCAAACAGGAUUAGAUACCCUGGUAGUCCUAGCCGUAAACGAUGGGCACUAGGUGUCUGCUCUUUUAAGAGUGGGUGCCGUAGCUAACGCGUUAAGUGCCCCACCUGGGGACUACGGCCGCAAGGCUAAAACUCAAAGGAAUUGACGGGGGCCCGCACAAGCGGUGGAACACGUGGUUUAAUUCGAUGCUACGCGAGGAACCUUACCAGGGUUUGACAUGCAGGAAGUAACUGCCUGGAAGGGCGUGUGACCUGUAUCCAAUCAGGAACCUGCACAGGUGCUGCAUGGCUGUCGUCAGCUCGUGCCGUGAGGUGUUUCCUUAAGUGGAAGAACGAGCGCAACCCUCGCUUUUAGUUGCCACCUUUGGCUUUAUGUCAAAGAGCACUCUAAAGGGACUGCCCGCGUUAAGUGGGAGGAAGGCGGGGAUGACGUCAAGUCCGCAUGGCCCUUAUGUCCUGGGCUACACACGUGUUACAAUGCCGAUUACAGAGGGCGGCUAAGCCGCAAGGUGGAGCAAAUCCUUUAAAAAUCGGCCCAGUUCGGAUCGAGAGCUGCAACUCGCCCUCGUGAAGCCGGAAUCGCUAGUAAUGGCGUAUCAGCUACGACGCCGUGAAUACGUUCCCGGGCCUUGUACACACCGCCCGUCAAGCGCUGAAAGUGGGGGGCGCCCGAAUCCCCGAUUUAUCGAGGCCACGGUGAAUUUCAUGAUUGGCGCUAAGUCGUAACAAGGUA
RNAcentral lists this ribosomal RNA (1511 nucleotides) under metagenome. Its description in RNAcentral is "bacterial SSU rRNA". It matches the Rfam family "Bacterial small subunit ribosomal RNA". The record is from RNAcentral.